GUCAAGUCAUCAUCGGCCCUUAUGUCCGAGGGCGACACACGUGCUACAAUGGCCGGCACAGGCGGGAAGCGAGGGGGCGACCUUGAGCGGAUCCCUCAAAGCCGGUCUCAGUUCGGAUUGCAGUCUGCAACUCGACUGCAUGAAGUUGGAAUCGCUAGUAAUCGUGGAUCAGCCAAGCCGCGGUGAAUACGUUCCCGGGCCUU
RNAcentral lists this ribosomal RNA (203 nucleotides) under uncultured Thermovirga sp. RNAcentral describes it as "partial 16S ribosomal RNA". It matches the Rfam family "Bacterial small subunit ribosomal RNA", at positions 1184 to 1382 of the family's 1533-position model. The record is from RNAcentral. Lineage: Bacteria; Thermotogati; Synergistota; Synergistia; Synergistales; Thermovirgaceae.